CAAAAAAGAAAAGAAAACGCGAGCGACUCUCACACCCAUCGCGUCCAGCGUUUCUCCUUUUCUCUACUCCCAACUAGCUAGGGACGCCGCCGCCGCCCUCACCCGCGCUCGUGCCCUCUUCGUCUCCUGUCCCGAGGUCCACCUCCUCCAGCCUCAUCUCCCUCGAUCUUCUUGAUUUGGAUCUCGGGAGCAGACAUGGGAGGGAGGCGAUGUGCCGGCGAGGCCUCUGGGACCGUGUGGCGGGCGUGAGCUACUCCGCCUCCCCACCCUCGUCCACGACGAUGAGGACUGGUUCGCGUUUUGCCUCCAGUUCCAACUCAUGGUCACGCUGGAUAUGCCCCAUGACACCGUUUGCGUCAAUCUGAAGGUUAGGGAGGACAGGGACGAGGUGCGGGCACAAAUGCAGGUGUUGAAUGAUUCUCAAUAUCGAUCAACAAUCUAGUAGGUGGCACAUAUGGGUCCCUCACCAUGCUGUUGACACGAUGGCCCUACCGAAUCAAGGACGAGCCAUGAGAUAACAUAGCCGGCGGCUCUCGUCACGCACACCGGUUGGUCCUGCUCCGGCGAGCCGCCGCCACCGUGCCUGUUUAGAUCUCACUAUUUAGUUUAUAGGUUCUUUGUCGGGCAGUGUAGAACUGAAAUAGUUGAAGAGAACAUCAUGAGGCGAUGCUAGAAGCUUGCUUGUGUGCUAGCCGUUGUUGUGAUUUUAAGAAAUUUACAAGUUCACUCAAUGGAAAAAAGAGGGACUAUGGUGAGAGUACAUCGAAAUCUCCUAGGAUGGCAAACAAGAAGUCGACCAAAAUAUCCGGCAACGGUGGUGAGCAUAGUGGUGACAUGUGAUUUCCAUGCCUAUUUGUCGGCUCUACAAAAUGCACAUUUGAUUUCUCCAUAUUCAUUUGUUGAUUUCUACUUUCAUGAGAAGUUGAGAACUACUUGAGGCAGAGUAUUUACAUCCUCAAUUUCAUCCUUCACUCCUUGUAGGUGUACUUACCCUUCUCUUGCUGCUGUUGCAUCUAGAUAUGCAAUCUAUGCUAGCUUUGUGGAAGUGGAGAUGGAAAGGACGUUGUCAUUAGUCAAGUCAUGUGAGCGGGGAAGGGGCCAAAAAAGCGAAGCUAAAAACAGCUAACAGGCCCAUCAGAAUAUUGUCCACUCCCUCCUCGAAGAAUAUCUGAUUCAUUAUUCGUUUCGUGAAUUCUUUAUUCCAGCUCCUGCGGAGGAGGAUUAUGCACCCUUAUUAUCAUUGCGAAGAAGGCAAUAGAAGGCUAUGGAUUUUCUAGGGUGGGCACAUUUGCUGUCUGGUCUUCUGAUGCAACACUGUGAUUCACCUUUUGCUCUCUGGUUCUUGAAUUUUGGCUUUUGGCUGCUCGUGUAGUAUCGUCCUAAAUAAGUAGAUGAGUUCGAUCCAUCGUGUCCAUUUGUCCUUUGGGUAAAUAAAUGAAGAAAACUACAAAAAUAUAUAUUUUGUGCUGUGUGAUUUAUCUUGUAAGACUGUUACCUUUCUAUUAAGACACAUAUUACCUUGCUUU
Hordeum vulgare subsp. vulgare (domesticated barley) is the source of this 1526-nucleotide long non-coding RNA. RefSeq lists it as uncharacterized. The transcript has 5 exons. The record is from RefSeq and is a predicted model, not a curated record. Lineage: Eukaryota; Viridiplantae; Streptophyta; Magnoliopsida; Poales; Poaceae.